ACGCUCGACACCUACGGGGGGCAGCAGUGGGGAAUAUUGCACAAUGGGGGGAAACCCUGAUGCAGCGACGCCGCGUGAAGGAAGAAGUAUCUCGGUAUGUAAACUUCUAUCAGCAGGGAAGAAAAAUGACGGUACCUGACUAAGAAGCCCCGGCUAACUACGUGCCAGCAGCCGCGGUAAUCUGAGCGGGCUGGCAAGGC
RNAcentral lists this ribosomal RNA (200 nucleotides) under uncultured bacterium. Its description in RNAcentral is "partial 16S ribosomal RNA". It matches the Rfam family "Bacterial small subunit ribosomal RNA", at positions 328 to 539 of the family's 1533-position model. The record is from RNAcentral.